This 477-nucleotide ribosomal RNA is filed under the name uncultured bacterium. RNAcentral describes it as "partial 16S ribosomal RNA". It matches the Rfam family "Bacterial small subunit ribosomal RNA", at positions 30 to 507 of the family's 1533-position model. The record is from RNAcentral.
AUUGAACGCUGGCGGCAUGCCUUACACAUGCAAGUCGAACGGUAACAGGUUAAGCUGACGAGUGGCGAACGGGUGAGUAAUGUAUCGGAACGUGCCCAGUCGUGGGGGAUAACUGCUCGAAAGAGCAGCUAAUACCGCAUACGACCUGAGGGUGAAAGCGGGGGAUCGCAAGACCUCGCGCGAUUGGAGCGGCCGAUAUCAGAUUAGGUAGUUGGUGAGGUAAAGGCUCACCAAGCCGACGAUCUGUAGCUGGUCUGAGAGGACGACCAGCCACACUGGGACUGAGACACGGCCCAGACUCCUACGGGAGGCAGCAGUGGGGAAUUUUGGACAAUGGGCGCAAGCCUGAUCCAGUCAUGCCGCGUGCGGGAAGAAGGCCUUCGGGUUGUAAACCGCUUUUGUCAGGGAAGAAAAGGUUCUGGCUAAUACCUGGGACUCAUGACGGUACCUGAAGAAUAAGCACCGGCUAACUACGUG